Molecule: transfer RNA, 67 nt
Filed under: Acinetobacter baumannii 1593273
Lineage: Bacteria; Pseudomonadati; Pseudomonadota; Gammaproteobacteria; Moraxellales; Moraxellaceae
Description: partial tRNA-Met
Rfam family: tRNA
About the family: Transfer RNA (tRNA) molecules are approximately 80 nucleotides in length. Their secondary structure includes four short double-helical elements and three loops (D, anti-codon, and T loops). Further hydrogen bonds mediate the characteristic L-shaped molecular structure. tRNAs have two regions of fundamental functional importance: the anti-codon, which is responsible for specific mRNA codon recognition, and the 3' end, to which the tRNAs corresponding amino acid is attached (by aminoacyl-tRNA synthetases). tRNAs cope with the degeneracy of the genetic code in two manners: having more than one tRNA (with a specific anti-codon) for a particular amino acid; and 'wobble' base-pairing, i.e. permitting non-standard base-pairing at the 3rd anti-codon position.
Source: RNAcentral
AGCAGUCUGGUAGCUCGUCGGGCUCAUAACCCGAAGGUCGUUGGUUCAAAUCCAGCUCCCGCUACCA